UGGGGAAUAUUGGACAAUGGGCGCAAGCCUGAUCCAGCCAUGCCGCGUGAGUGAUGAAGGCCUUAGGGUUGUAAAGCUCUUUCGCCGACGAAGAUAAUGACGGUAGUCGGAGAAGAAGCCCCGGCUAACUUCGUGCCAGCAGCCGCGGUAAUACGAAGGGGGCUAGCGAUGUUCGGAAUCACUGGGCGUAAAGCGCACGUAGGCGGAUUGUUAAGUCAGGGGUGAAAGCCUGGAGCUCAACUCCAGAACUGCCCUUGAUACUGGCAAUCUCGAGUCCGGAAGAGGUAAGUGGAACUGCGAGUGUAGNGGUGAAAUUCGUAGAUAUUCGCAAGAACACCAGUGGCGAAGGCGGCUUACUGGUCCGGUACUGACGCUGAGGUGC
RNAcentral lists this ribosomal RNA (382 nucleotides) under uncultured bacterium. RNAcentral describes it as "partial 16S ribosomal RNA". It matches the Rfam family "Bacterial small subunit ribosomal RNA", at positions 355 to 754 of the family's 1533-position model. The record is from RNAcentral.